CUCGUUUUAUAUAUUUAAUACUAAAUAAUGAAUCAUGUAGAAAAUAUAGUUUCCUCUAAUACUAAAAAAGUGGACAAAAUUAUUGUUUUCAGUUCUGGUACUCACGGCUGUCUGCUAGAAUUAUUUUUAGAGACGAAAAUAAGGGGCAGACUUUUAUUCUCUCACAUUUCUCAGACCCCCUAAAUUCAAAUGUUCCGUAUACUUUAGGCUUUUAAUCUAUGUAGAAGUAACUGACUGGGGUCCUUAUUCAGCAAGCCAAUGUGCAGUUUUUGUUAUGGACUAACUUGAGCGUGUGGGUUAAACAUGUGUUCGUCUGUAAAUUAAAAUGUUAUAGCUGUGGAACUUUUUUGUUCAUGUGAGAUAAUUGAUUUACCUUCUAUUCGGUGGAAUAGAGAAAUAAGCGUCAAUGCGCCCUUGUUCCAAUCUUUGUCUUUUUGAAGGCGUCGUGCUUGCCAUCUUCAAUCAAUUUCUAUUUCAGAAUGACGUUUUUUCGACGUACUGGUCAAAUCCACCGGAAGUGAAUCACGUGACAUAUUAGACAUAAUCAAUAACAUAUUUGACGUAAAAUGCGAGCAAGAAAUAAUAUCUGUACAAGUAAAGAGCUGUUUCAUUUAAUAUAAGG
This 622-nucleotide long non-coding RNA is filed under the name Mytilus galloprovincialis (Mediterranean mussel). Lineage: Eukaryota; Metazoa; Mollusca; Bivalvia; Mytilida; Mytilidae. The record is from RNAcentral.